AAAUCGGCCCUUUUCAGGGCCACAAUUCUAUAACAUAGAAACACUGU
This is a non-coding RNA of Dufourea novaeangliae, 47 nucleotides long. The record is from Rfam. Lineage: Eukaryota; Metazoa; Arthropoda; Insecta; Hymenoptera; Halictidae.